RNAcentral lists this ribosomal RNA (405 nucleotides) under uncultured bacterium. RNAcentral's name for it is "bacterial SSU rRNA". It matches the Rfam family "Bacterial small subunit ribosomal RNA", at positions 356 to 773 of the family's 1533-position model. The record is from RNAcentral.
GGGGAAUAUUGCACAAUGGGCGCAAGCCUGAUGCAGCAACGCCGCGUGAGGGACGACGGCCUUCGGGUUGUAAACCUCUUUUAGCAGGGAAGAAGCGAAAGUGACGGUACCUGCAGAAAAAGCACCGGCUAACUACGUGCCAGCAGCCGCGGUAAUACGUAGGGUGCAAGCGUUAUCCGGAAUUAUUGGGCGUAAAGAGCUCGUAGGCGGUUUGUCGCGUCUGCUGUGAAAACCCGAGGCUCAACCUCGGGCCUGCAGUGGGUACGGGCAGACUAGAGUGCGGUAGGGGAGAUUGGAAUUCCUGGUGUAGCGGUGGAAUGCGCAGAUAUCAGGAGGAACACCGAUGGCGAAGGCAGAUCUCUGGGCCGUAACUGACGCUGAGGAGCGAAAGCAUGGGGAGCGAAC